Molecule: transfer RNA, 73 nt
Filed under: Zootermopsis nevadensis
Lineage: Eukaryota; Metazoa; Arthropoda; Insecta; Blattodea; Termopsidae
Rfam family: tRNA
About the family: Transfer RNA (tRNA) molecules are approximately 80 nucleotides in length. Their secondary structure includes four short double-helical elements and three loops (D, anti-codon, and T loops). Further hydrogen bonds mediate the characteristic L-shaped molecular structure. tRNAs have two regions of fundamental functional importance: the anti-codon, which is responsible for specific mRNA codon recognition, and the 3' end, to which the tRNAs corresponding amino acid is attached (by aminoacyl-tRNA synthetases). tRNAs cope with the degeneracy of the genetic code in two manners: having more than one tRNA (with a specific anti-codon) for a particular amino acid; and 'wobble' base-pairing, i.e. permitting non-standard base-pairing at the 3rd anti-codon position.
Source: Rfam by way of RNAcentral
GCCACGGUGGUCUAUCGGUUACAACGCUGGCCUUGUAAUCCUGGGGUCUCGGGUUCGAUUCCCGGCGGUGCCC